AUACAGUUCAAUUCUUGUACAGGUUUGCUGCUGAGCAGAAAGAAAAAAAGCACAUGAUGGACAAGGUUCUAGAAGCAGAGGAGCAUAAAGAUGAAGGGUGUGGUCCUAGCACAGAUGUCAUGGCAAAAGUUAACCACAUCUCCAAGCGUCAAGGGAACCCUAGUGCAUAGAAAAGUCAUAGCAGAGAAUGAUGAGGACAGUGCCAAGGAAAGAAUAAGGCCAAGGGAACCUAAUCUUUUCCACAGCAUGGAAUUAUUCAGAGUACAAAACUACCCUUGAUGUGGAAACAUCAGGUAGAAAUG
RNAcentral lists this long non-coding RNA (302 nucleotides) under Cavia porcellus (domestic guinea pig). RNAcentral's name for it is "lncRNA (ENSCPOG00000033632.1)". Lineage: Eukaryota; Metazoa; Chordata; Mammalia; Rodentia; Caviidae. The record is from RNAcentral.